Molecule: ribosomal RNA, 623 nt
Filed under: Bradyrhizobium elkanii
Lineage: Bacteria; Pseudomonadati; Pseudomonadota; Alphaproteobacteria; Hyphomicrobiales; Nitrobacteraceae
Description: bacterial SSU rRNA
Rfam family: Bacterial small subunit ribosomal RNA
Source: RNAcentral
AUGCAAGUCGAGCGGGCAUAGCAAUAUGUCAGCGGCAGACGGGUGAGUAACGCGUGGGAACGUACCUUUUGGUUCGGAACAACUGAGGGAAACUUCAGCUAAUACCGGAUAAGCCCUUACGGGGAAAGAUUUAUCGCCGAAAGAUCGGCCCGCGUCUGAUUAGCUAGUUGGUGAGGUAAUGGCUCACCAAGGCGACGAUCAGUAGCUGGUCUGAGAGGAUGAUCAGCCACAUUGGGACUGAGACACGGCCCAAACUCCUACGGGAGGCAGCAGUGGGGAAUAUUGGACAAUGGGCGCAAGCCUGAUCCAGCCAUGCCGCGUGAGUGAUGAAGGCCCUAGGGUUGUAAAGCUCUUUUGUGCGGGAAGAUAAUGACGGUACCGCAAGAAUAAGCCCCGGCUAACUUCGUGCCAGCAGCCGCGGUAAUACGAAGGGGGCUAGCGUUGCUCGGAAUCACUGGGCGUAAAGGGUGCGUAGGCGGGUCUUUAAGUCAGGGGUGAAAUCCUGGAGCUCAACUCCAGAACUGCCUUUGAUACUGAAGAUCUUGAGUUCGGGAGAGGUGAGUGGAACUGCGAGUGUAGAGGUGAAAUUCGUAGAUAUUCGCAAGAGCACCAGUGGCGAAGGC